Long non-coding RNA from Platichthys flesus (European flounder), 724 nucleotides. RefSeq lists it as uncharacterized. The record is from RefSeq and is a predicted model, not a curated record. The transcript has 3 exons. NCBI's taxonomy places the organism in Eukaryota, Metazoa, Chordata, Actinopteri, Pleuronectiformes, Pleuronectidae.
AUCACCUCGCAGCAUUGUGUGUGAGCAGAGUGUGAAUGUGUGAGUAUCCUUCCCUGUCGCCUUCCUGCUGUCCAACUUUCUCUGGUGAGAGACAGAUCGGAGCAUGAUCGACUGUUACCUGGUCUGGUAGUUUUUAUAUGAUAGUCUGUUCCUGCUGCCAUGGAUCUUCUGUUUGGGGUUUCUCGGAUUUGCACUCUGUUUUUAUGGGGUUGCAUUUUUUUUCCUACACAGAAAGGUUGGAAUAUUGCACAUGGCUACUAUGUCGAUGAGAACCCACAAACCUCAAACCAGUUUCACUCUGGAGCUUUUCUAAGCACAGACUUGAAGGAUCCAACACAGGUUACAGGGGACCGGAGCUUUUCUUCCCCUCAGAGAGAACCGGUUCAUUUUGAUGAUACCAGCCUCGGGGAAAACAUGGUGCAACACCAACCAGACGUGGGACAGGAGCAGGACGAUUAUUCUGCGGUUCCCUCUGCUUCUGCUGUGCAGAAAUAUGAAAGCGACCAACAUCCUUUCGGUGUUUUAUUGAAGCAGUACACACCCAUGAAAAAUGUGGAGGGCAUCAGCUUCCCAACAAUUAAAGAUUUCCAACGGUUCAUAGAGACGAUGAAGAGCUCCUAUUUAAUACCAGGAAGGGACUCAAGAGGACAUUUUCAAACUGCUCGAGAGACGAUGAAAAAUGAGUUGAUUUCUGAUGCCCAAAGGAUUAAGGGAGAGUCUUCCA